UGAAAUUGCAAAAUUAAUCCGAGCAUCCUUCAAUGGAUUGAGAGACUAGUAUGUGAUGGAAGAAAGAAAAGCAAAAGCGAGUCUGUCUCCUCUUUGUUGCAGCCGACCUCUCCUAAGAAAACAAAAGAUAAGUCAAGAGACCUAGUGUCAAUUGACUUCUUCCUAUGACUAAUCAGCUGCAACCAAAAAGAAAGGAAAUCUACUAAUUGGUAACUUUCUUAUUCUUAUUAAACCACUAUUGUCAAUUCAAAUCAAACAAUCAACUGAUGAAAUAUUUGCAGCCCUACGUUGCACUUCCAAUUGUCAGUUGGAUAUCACGCAUUAUUCCCGAAUUUCCUGGAGACGCUAAGUCUUGAGUAGAAUGCGGCCGCGUCAAAUAGCAAAUGUAGUGAGGAAGAAUUUGCACCUUUUUACCACUCUUUGUUCCAACUCCCUGCGAUUAGCACAAAUUUCCAAAAGUGAAUAGAAUCCACUAAUUAAUACACAUUUGGUAAGAUAAUAAGAGGGAAAGAAUUGUAAAAUUAAUGAAAAAAUUACGAUCUAUCAAUUCUUCCCACACCUAGACCAUGCUUGUCCUCAAGCAUGAGAACAACAAACUAGCACCAACUUCCAACAAUGGUUAUCACUCCAUCUGCCUAUUGCCAAAAUAUCAUGAAAACACACAUCAAGCAUCAAUGGCCAAGGAACAAGGAAUAUCUCCUCAGUUAGCUUCUAAGCCAUAGACUUCUCCAAUUUAUAGCUAACUAAUCUAAGAAGAGAGAAUGUGUGAUCAACAUUUAACAGCAAAUGGUUUAACUAUUAAUCAAAAUCUCAACAUUAAACCCAUGGAUCGGUGAACUAUUUUAGUCAUUGCAUACUUACACAAUUUUCACAACUCUCUCUCUCUCUUUUUAUUUGUUUUUCAUUUUUUUAAUUGAACAUAUUUAAUCUUUAGCCAUUAAAGCCUUUUGACAUGAAUUCUAACAUUUGUCAGAUGAAUGAACCUAGUUACUCAACUCCCAUCGCUAUAAGAUCACGUACUCAUAGGUAUCACUACUUUUUGACGCGAGUAUCGAUACUUUUGAUGAGGAUCCCCGGUUACUAGGUAGUGAUAACCAGCGGAGUACUAUCAACAUUAUUCAUAACCAGACAACCAAAUAACUCAAGAAAUCACAUAAAGUAACACCAGCUUGCUUCAUUUUCUCAAACAUAAUUUUAGACAUUCACCAAAGAGAUAUUUCUGGACUUAACCAUAUUGCACUUGAUACACUCUCAUCACUAAGACUUGGCAAUAGGAAAAUUAGAAUCAGCCAACCAUUGUCAAUCCUUGGUAAUCAUAGAAAUGCUAACCAAUAAUAAAAGUAAAAAAUAAAAGGAAAACAUAAAAAUAAUAAAAAAAAAAGGAAAAAAACCUUAAAAAGAACAAUACCAACUGUACCACAGCUCCUCCCUACACCUGAAUCUAAUAUUGUCCUCAAUGGAAGCCAUAACGUAAAAAAAAAUAACCAGGACAACGAAACUUCCUUGAACAUGUGGUGGAGGGUCUGGAGCAGCUAUAGAAUAGGUGGGAAUGGCGGUGUGAAGCCAACGUGGCAGAAGUAGGCUGUCAAAUUUUGGGACAUCUGGGCCACCUGAUCAACAAUAUUAGUCACCUGCCCGUUCAUAUGGUGGACCUGUGCUUGAAAGUGUUGCCACUCAGCAUUAGAUGAUGGCGGUGGAGGAGGCACAGAAGUAGAAGGUCUAGCCGCGUCAUCGGCCACUUUAGAAGCAGAAGAGGGACCUGCACGUGUAGAAGAGCGCUGGCCUAGUGCUCGAAUGGGCCCUGGGAGUGUAAAUCAAAAUAUACCAUCAAUAUCCUCUACAAUUCCCAUUUUUUCUAGACAAACCACAUCUAAAAAUUUCAUGUCACAGGCCAAAUAUAGAUCAUGGCUCUGAAGAUUAAGAACUUCUAAAUGAACUGUCAAGUGUGUGAUAUACGACCCAAGAAUCAACGGAUUAUUUUUUUUGGCCAAGACUAUCUUAAACUGAGAAGCUAGCCAACAAUCCAAAUUCACCUUAACAUUCUGCUUCAUACACCAAAUAAAGAAGAACUCGGGCCUAAAAAAUGUACUGGAACUAUCUUUUCUACCCGAGUAACUAUAGAUUGAAAAUCACUAAACAUAAUGAGAACUUGGAUUCUUGAGAUAAGAACUCUUAGACCUGCUAAGAUCAUAACGGUUCCUGUCGACUGAUAUUUCCCUCCAAAUAUCGGGAUAAUGAGAGAAAAAUGGUUCUAUGUAGUCACAAGCACUCUCAGUGUACUCUCUAGAUUUAGCAUACUAUCGAUCAAUUAACCCAAAGGCUAAAUUGAACUCAGUAAUGGAGAAACUGAACUCCUGACCAAUUAAACGAAAUCAAAUUACAUUCGGGGUAGUGACAAUAUAUCCCGCGGGCAAUUCGAACUCAAAAGUAGCAUAAAACUCUCUAACUAGUUCAACAAAAGUAGGCAAUAAAUUUCAGCAAAAGAUCUCCACCCAAUGGCUGAAAACAUCCACUUAAUCUCAUCCCGAAUGCCCAAGGCACCCAUGAUAAGCUUGUUAAGGCAUUUACAAAGGAUAAUUCGUCGCUCACAAUACAUAGCGUAUCUUUGUUUAUCGGUGGCUUUAGUGAAAUUCAAAUGACCCCCAAAGUGCGAGAGUGUAGAAACAUGGACAUCCUUACCCCUACCUAGAUGUGUCCUUACACCUAAAGAAGACGGAUGGUUGGUAGAUUCAUUCACAGGGAUGAUAGGUUGGGGUAUAGUAGACUAAACUUUAGGAGUUUUAUUUUUAGAAGUGGACUUUUGCUUAACUAUUGUCUCUACCAAGCAACUUAAUCAAACGACUACCCAAUCAAGGUAGCAUUUAACCAAUACUCAUGUUAUCAAGCACCCAAGCCAGGUACCUCACAAUGAACCGAAGACCCGCCAAAAAUAUCAAUCAAGCAAACUAGAUCUAUCAGCCAUGUCCAUCAAAUCAGCAAUUAAUUCAAUAAGCAUUGUCGUUGCUUAAUUGAACAUAUAAAUGCGCAAUUCGCCCAACCACAAAUUCAGUAGAGGCUCAAAUAUUUCAGCAAUUUAAAUCAACGGUCAAAUGGCACCAAGAAUUCAGCAAAAUAAUGUAGCAGGGACCCGUAAACCGAUAUUUAACACAGAACCCAAAAUCUUUGCCCAAUUCAGUCUAGAAAUCUAUUCCAGAAGUAGUACUCCCAAAAAUAAGUAAUUGACUCUAGCAAGUCAGCUAAGUAAUUGGGAAAACUAAAUACCUCCUUUUACUCAAACCAAUAUUAGAGAUGCCAAGCAAACAGCGAGAUUGGAGAUGGCUGUGGGUGGUGGUAGCGCGCGACGAACGAUCGGAGAGAGAG
Molecule: long non-coding RNA, 3360 nt
Filed under: Coffea arabica (coffee)
Lineage: Eukaryota; Viridiplantae; Streptophyta; Magnoliopsida; Gentianales; Rubiaceae
Description: long non-coding RNA (CARA_LNC007517)
Source: RNAcentral